AGCGUACACGGUGGAUGCCCUGGCAGUCAGAGGCGAUGAAGGACGUGCUAAUCUGCGAUAAGCGUCGGUAAGGUGAUAUGAACCGUUAUAACCGGCGAUUUCCGAAUGGGGAAACCCAGUGUGUUUCGACACACUAUCAUUAACUGAAUCCAUAGGUUAAUGAGGCGAACCGGGGGAACUGAAACAUCUAAGUACCCCGAGGAAAAGAAAUCAACCGAGAUUCCCCCAGUAGCGGCGAGCGAACGGGGAGCAGCCCAGAGCCUGAAUCAGUGUGUGUGUUAGUGGAAGCGUCUGGAAAGGCGCGCGAUACAGGGUGACAGCCCCGUACACAAAAAUGCACAUGCUGUGAGCUCGAUGAGUAGGGCGGGACACGUGGUAUCCUGUCUGAAUAUGGGGGGACCAUCCUCCAAGGCUAAAUACUCCUGACUGACCGAUAGUGAACCAGUACCGUGAGGGAAAGGCGAAAAGAACCCCGGCGAGGGGAGUGAAAAAGAACCUGAAACCGUGUACGUACAAGCAGUGGGAGCACGCUUAGGCGUGUGACUGCGUACCUUUUGUAUAAUGGGUCAGCGACUUAUAUUCUGUAGCAAGGUUAACCGAAUAGGGGAGCCGAAGGGAAACCGAGUCUUAACUGGGCGUUAAGUUGCAGGGUAUAGACCCGAAACCCGGUGAUCUAGCCAUGGGCAGGUUGAAGGUUGGGUAACACUAACUGGAGGACCGAACCGACUAAUGUUGAAAAAUUAGCGGAUGACUUGUGGCUGGGGGUGAAAGGCCAAUCAAACCGGGAGAUAGCUGGUUCUCCCCGAAAGCUAUUUAGGUAGCGCCUCGUGAAUUCAUCUCCGGGGGUAGAGCACUGUUUCGGCAAGGGGGUCAUCCCGACUUACCAACCCGAUGCAAACUGCGAAUACCGGAGAAUGUUAUCACGGGAGACACACGGCGGGUGCUAACGUCCGUCGUGAAGAGGGAAACAACCCAGACCGCCAGCUAAGGUCCCAAAGUCAUGGUUAAGUGGGAAACGAUGUGGGAAGGCCCAGACAGCCAGGAUGUUGGCUUAGAAGCAGCCAUCAUUUAAAGAAAGCGUAAUAGCUCACUGGUCGAGUCGGCCUGCGCGGAAGAUGUAACGGGGCUAAACCAUGCACCGAAGCUGCGGCAGCGACGCUGAUGCGUUGUUGGGUAGGGGAGCGUUCUGUAAGCCUGCGAAGGUGUGCUGUGAGGCAUGCUGGAGGUAUCAGAAGUGCGAAUGCUGACAUAAGUAACGAUAAAGCGGGUGAAAAGCCCGCUCGCCGGAAGACCAAGGGUUCCUGUCCAACGUUAAUCGGGGCAGGGUGAGUCGACCCCUAAGGCGAGGCCGAAAGGCGUAGUCGAUGGGAAACAGGUUAAUAUUCCUGUACUUGGUGUUACUGCGAAGGGGGGACGGAGAAGGCUAUGUUGGCCGGGCGACGGUUGUCCCGGUUUAAGCGUGUAGGCUGGUUUUCCAGGCAAAUCCGGAAAAUCAAGGCUGAGGCGUGAUGACGAGGCACUACGGUGCUGAAGCAACAAAUGCCCUGCUUCCAGGAAAAGCCUCUAAGCAUCAGGUAACAUCAAAUCGUACCCCAAACCGACACAGGUGGUCAGGUAGAGAAUACCAAGGCGCUUGAGAGAACUCGGGUGAAGGAACUAGGCAAAAUGGUGCCGUAACUUCGGGAGAAGGCACGCUGAUAUGUAGGUGAAGCGACUUGCUCGUGGAGCUGAAAUCAGUCGAAGAUACCAGCUGGCUGCAACUGUUUAUUAAAAACACAGCACUGUGCAAACACGAAAGUGGACGUAUACGGUGUGACGCCUGCCCGGUGCCGGAAGGUUAAUUGAUGGGGUCAGCGCAAGCGAAGCUCUUGAUCGAAGCCCCGGUAAACGGCGGCCGUAACUAUAACGGUCCUAAGGUAGCGAAAUUCCUUGUCGGGUAAGUUCCGACCUGCACGAAUGGCGUAAUGAUGGCCAGGCUGUCUCCACCCGAGACUCAGUGAAAUUGAACUCGCUGUGAAGAUGCAGUGUACCCGCGGCAAGACGGAAAGACCCCGUGAACCUUUACUAUAGCUUGACACUGAACAUUGAGCCUUGAUGUGUAGGAUAGGUGGGAGGCUUGGAAGUGUGGACGCCAGUCUGCAUGGAGCCGACCUUGAAAUACCACCCUUUAAUGUUUGAUGUUCUAACGUUGACCCGUAAUCCGGGUUGCGGACAGUGUCUGGUGGGUAGUUUGACUGGGGCGGUCUCCUCCUAAAGAGUAACGGAGGAGCACGAAGGUUGGCUAAUCCUGGUCGGACAUCAGGAGGUUAGUGCAAUGGCAUAAGCCAGCUUGACUGCGAGCGUGACGGCGCGAGCAGGUGCGAAAGCAGGUCAUAGUGAUCCGGUGGUUCUGAAUGGAAGGGCCAUCGCUCAACGGAUAAAAGGUACUCCGGGGAUAACAGGCUGAUACCGCCCAAGAGUUCAUAUCGACGGCGGUGUUUGGCACCUCGAUGUCGGCUCAUCACAUCCUGGGGCUGAAGUAGGUCCCAAGGGUAUGGCUGUUCGCCAUUUAAAGUGGUACGCGAGCUGGGUUUAGAACGUCGUGAGACAGUUCGGUCCCUAUCUGCCGUGGGCGCUGGAGAACUGAGGGGGGCUGCUCCUAGUACGAGAGGACCGGAGUGGACGCAUCACUGGUGUUCGGGUUGUCAUGCCAAUGGCACUGCCCGGUAGCUAAAUGCGGAAGAGAUAAGUGCUGAAAGCAUCUAAGCACGAAACUUGCCCCGAGAUGAGUUCUCCCUGACUCCUUGA
Molecule: ribosomal RNA, 2787 nt
Filed under: Escherichia coli
Lineage: Bacteria; Pseudomonadati; Pseudomonadota; Gammaproteobacteria; Enterobacterales; Enterobacteriaceae
Description: bacterial LSU rRNA
Rfam family: Bacterial large subunit ribosomal RNA
Source: RNAcentral